ACACUCGCUGGGGCCUGGUCCUCUCCAUGUGGUCCUGACCUACCCCCCCGCGAGGGAGAGAAACAGGGCUGGUUUGGGGGUCUCCCACCCUAGUGGACAUGGGAGACCACGGUUUCCAGCACAACA
Molecule: small nucleolar RNA, 126 nt
Filed under: Vulpes vulpes (red fox)
Lineage: Eukaryota; Metazoa; Chordata; Mammalia; Carnivora; Canidae
Description: Small Cajal body specific RNA 23 (ENSVVUG00000023823.1)
Rfam family: Small Cajal body specific RNA 23
About the family: scaRNAs are a specific class of small nuclear RNAs which localise to the Cajal bodies and guide the modification of RNA polymerase II transcribed spliceosomal RNAs U1, U2, U4, U5 and U12.
Source: Rfam by way of RNAcentral